Molecule: ribosomal RNA, 624 nt
Filed under: Triticum aestivum (bread wheat)
Lineage: Eukaryota; Viridiplantae; Streptophyta; Magnoliopsida; Poales; Poaceae
Description: partial small subunit ribosomal RNA
Source: RNAcentral
AUGGUCCAUGAAAUGUGCACUGAAAUGUCACAUGCUAUCGGGAAGCUCGUAGUGGGCAUAGGGAAGCUUGACGAGGGGCAACCUAGCUCAAGCAAGAACAUAGACAUUAACCCACAGGCAAGUGAACAUACCAGUUCUCGGAGGAAGCGAGCAACACCUAGAGUGAUUGAACACGGCUCAAGUGAGGAUAAGGAGUCAUUCAAGUCGGACGAAGAGAGCGAGGAUGAGGACGACGACAAAGACAAUGAAUCAGAACAAGACAGUGGUAACUCGGGGAAUGACAGCGGAGAUGACAGUUCAGAUGAUGAUGAUGACAACACCAGUCAUGGAGGCAAUGUCAGACACAAUUCUGCUGAGGAUGAUGCCAAUAAGGAGAAUGACGAGACAGAGAAAGUUGGUGAAUAUGAGGACAAUGAGGACCAAGUCAAGAAGUGUGGAGGCAAGAAAAACGAUGAUGGAAAUGGAGAUGAUGAGGACCAUGGCGGAGGAGCCAAUACAGGAGGAUGCAGCAGGACAAACAAUUCUGAUGGAGAUGAAGGAGAAGGAAGUUCAAGCAGCAGCGGGGAUGGCGACUCUGGAUCAAAUUUCUUUAUCAAGCAAAAUGACAACAAACAACAAGCAUGA